GGUCUUAAGAGAUCACCUUUUUCCUGUGAUAAGUAACUCUUAUAAUCCGAGCACUAACAGAUGUUAGAAAAUUCAGGCUGGUAAAUAGCCCUCGUAAAAUGCAAGAUGGAUCUUUAUUAUUGCUAUUACAUGUUUUAAACACUGUAAAUCUAGGAGCUUAGAAUGAAUAAAGGGAGUGGCCUCUGGGAAAUCCAGCAGCUCUGAGAAUGUGGAAAUUAAACAUAAACCCCCAAAGGAAAUCCUUUAGUAGCCAAAUGGGGAGAAGAUACAGAAUAUUUCCCAAAGAAUUGGUCCAGUUCCCUCAAAAUAGCUUCUGUCACCAGGCCUCAUCAGUGCUGUUACCAUGUCCCCCACACCGGAUUUCACCAUUCUGGGAAAAAGAAUACCAGUCAAGGGCUGACCUUGUGUCCCUCCUCAAUCAAACCUCUAGUACCCCUAACCCACCACAACGUCAUUGCCAUAAGAACAUACAAGAGCCUCCUCCAUGGUUCAAACAUUCAGCUAUCACUUCCAAGAUGCCCCAACUUAAUAGAGCAAUGGUGGUGCCAUUGCCCCAUCUUCAUCAUCUGGCUAAACCAUCCCCUCCUCACAAGCAACGUACAGUGGUUCCAGUCUUGCCUUUACCUAGGACUGAUAUCACAACCAAAAAAACUCCUGGGGCUUUGACUCCUCUUGGUCCCAAACACCAACGUGAUUCUCCUUCAGAUCCUAACCACCGGUUAGAGAAUCCUUCAGGCUCUGACCACCUUCCCAAGAUUUUUCCAGCCUGCGAUCAUUCAGAUAUUGAGGAUCUAACACUUCUCAACCAAAAGAACCCAAUCCCACCAUUCUCUAAGCAUCAGACUGAGGUUCCAUUAUGUGAAGGCCACAGGCCCAGGGCUGCUACAAUAGCCAGAAUAUUUUCUGACACCCAGGCCAAGACCAAUGGGCCUUUCACAAGAACCCCCAUUCAGGAAGCCAGAGUUUUGCCAAGACCUAGGCGCCAGAUCAAGGCUACCAAUGCACUGUUAGGACUUUUCAGCUUGGACCCUGUACUCCAUCCACUUGCAAAAUCAUUACCUUUUACCCUCUGGACCAGGACCCCACAUUUCAGAACAUCAGUUCUAAACUACUGGGUCCAGGCCCAACCUCUGAAGGCAUCACAUUGUGAUCUCCAGCCCAGAGAAGCAGUGCCCUUUUUACAAUGCCUUGACCACCAUCCUAGACCCCUAGCUGUACCUACAGCACAUCUGAAUCAGAGAAACAGGGCUACAGCUGUAUGCAGAUACAAUCCUUGCCUGCUACGUGCACCAGGCCCUAUUGCUCAUGUCUCAGUUCAAGCAGAGCAAGACAAUUGGGAGGCUAUGCUGCUGAGAAAGUACCUCCUGGAUACAUGCCCUUCCAGUCCUGAUAUAGAGCCUUCAGCUACGCCACCAGAGCCUUCCACUCCAGUUAAAAAUGACAAAGAUUCCUGGGAAACAAUAUCCCAAGGAACAGACAUCCAGAACACACCUCCAUCCAGUUCUGACCUGGAAAUGGACACAACCCCAGAGCCCGCUGUCCAUAUGUCCAUCAAAACAGGUCCAGAUACCUGGGACGCAACAUCCCCAAGAACAGACUUACAGGAAACACUUCCAUCCAGUACUGACACAGAAACUGACACAGCUCCAGAGCCCAUUGUCCAUAUGUCCAUCCAAACAGGGCCAGACACCUGGGACACAACAUCCCCAAGAACAGACUUACAGGAAACACUUCCCUCCAGUACUGACACAGAAACUGACACGGCCCCAGAGCCUACUGUCCAUGUGUCCAUUCAAACAGAGCCAGACACCUGGGACACAACAACCCCAGAGACAGAUCAGGAGGAGAUCCCUCUAACAGACCAGGAUGAUGAGAUAACUGUACUGGGCUCAAGGCCUCAGAAUGUAACUCUAUGUGGCCCUCGCCAGUGGACCACACCUCCACUCAGCCCUGACCCCUGGGCUGAGCAUGUGCCAGACUCCAAUGCCCUGAUCACACUUCAUCCAGAACUAGAACAAUGGGAAACAAUGCCACAGGAAACAGAUCACCUGGCUACACUUCCAUCCAGCCCCGAUCUGGACACUAAGACUAUAUCGGAACCCUUUGUCCAUGAAUCAGUUCCAGUAAAACAAAAGUACUGGGAAACAAUACUGACAAUUCUACCGGGAAUAUUUGAUCACCAGGAAAUAAUAAUAGAUGAAGCUUAUGAGACAGCACCACCACUGGACUUGGAUGGCCAGGAGAAUAUACUUUUUAGCCCUGAGGAAACAACAACGCCUCUGCCCAGCCCUUCCCACCAGACCGAGGAUAUAUCAAAUCCCGAUGUCCAGGCUACACUUCAACAAAAAUUAGAACAAUGGGCAACAUUGUCAGAGGAAACAAAUCGCCAAGAUACAUUAAUACUUAGCACAGAGUCAGAGACUGAGAAUACUCCAGUGCUCAUUGAUCCUAUCUCAGAUGUAAUAGAGCAAGAAAAAGUUGAAAUCAUAGACAUAAUGCCAGUGAGAAUAGAGCGCAAGGAACCAAACCAAACAGUCGAAGAUCCCUGGAGCAACAGAGGGGCAACAACUCUUUCCUUGGGCCAUGAUGAUGAAGAAAAUGAUCUACAUGGGCCAGACCACCAGACCAUACCACCCCUCAGCCCGGACCAGAAGCGAGAGACUGAGGAUACAGCACACGACCUUGCCCAAGAUUUAGUUACAAGCCAAGAAUCUGGGGAAAUGACACCACCCAGAACAGACCUAAAGACCACAAUUCUAACAGGUCAGGAUGAUGAGGAAACGACUUCAGUGGACUUGGACCCUGAAGACCCAGCUCAACUUGUCCACGAAUCCCAGAUCACACCUCCACUGGCUGAGGAUAUACCAGAUCUAAGUGCCCAGAUGUCACUUCAGCCAGAACCUGUCCCCUCUGACACAAUGUCACCAGGAACUGAGCUUCAAGACAACAUUCAAGGAGACCAGGAUCAAAGGGUAACACCACCAUCAAGCUUAGACCAUGAGGAAAUGACUCUAUCCAGCCCUGACCACUGUACAACCCAUCCAUCCAGUCCUGACAGACAGUCAGAAGCUGCUGAAGAUCUCAGUACCCAGGCUGUAUCUCCAACAGAUAGAGAACACUCAGCAAAAUUGUCUGAGGGUCAAGAGCAGGUCAAAAAUCCACCUAGUCCUAACCUCUCAGUCCAUCUUCCAUCCACCUUGGAAAAUGAGGCUGAAACUGGAACAGAGCCCACCAAGCCACCAAGCACGCCACCAGACAAUUUGGAUGAUGAGGAAACGGUCCCUCCGAGCCCUGACAAGACCAUAUCACCAUCAAGUUCCAACCACCAGACUGAGUCUCCUACAGGUCAUGACCACCAGCCUGAGACUGAGCUGAGCUCCGACCACCAAGACGAGGUUGAAUCUGGGCUCCCAUAUCAGCUCCAUACAUUGCAAAAUAGACAGAGGGAAUUGCAUUUAAAUUACAUCAAACCAUACACCGUCGAGGCGGGGACUGUCUCUGACAGAACUGUUCAUGCCAUCAUCAAUUCCAUCCCUCAGGAGAAAAUAAAAAAUGACAUCUGUAAGCAGAUUCUCCUGCCUCUGAGUCUUCAUAGAUACAGCCCAUGCGAUUAUAUAGUCUGUUUAAUUUGUGCCUCCUGGAUCCCAGCUGGUUGCCCACAUGAGGGGAUGAAAUAUCCAUGUGAAGCUCAUUUGCAAGCCAUUCCAAUACCUAUGCCCACGUCUGAGGUGGAGAUUGAUGUGAAAUUUGUCCUCAAAUGCCCCCAAGCAACAGUCUCCUCCCUUUUCAGCACCUCAAACACCCAUAGCCAUUUGAAAAAGUCAUCAGAAGGUGCAGAAUCAUCUCACUCAGACUCAGUAAUCCCUGUUCCUUCAAGACCAAAGUGGUUUCACUUCAUACUAGGCAAGUCUCUCCCACAAGGGAAGAAAGACAUCACGAGAAACCCAGAGCUAUCCAUAGACAAAACCUUUGAGGAGGGAAGCAACAGCAAAGAAGGGGAGAAGGCCAAGGUACAUCGGACAUCUUUCAGAUCUCUCCUGGAGAGAUUUCAGUGGAGGCGAAAGGAAACUAAAUGACUAUCUUUAUUUUGAAAGAAAUUGAUCCCCUGUGUAUUUUUGAAAUGUGUGUCUUUUUUUAUUGUUAUUUGAGGUGUUACAAGGGGAGAUGAUAAACCU
Molecule: long non-coding RNA, 4175 nt
Organism: Phascolarctos cinereus (koala)
Lineage: Eukaryota; Metazoa; Chordata; Mammalia; Diprotodontia; Phascolarctidae
Source: Ensembl